GUCCCAAGAUGGCGGCGGCGGCGGCGCCCGGGAGGCCGAGGCACCGUCCCGGCUGCUGAAGCGGGUUUCGCGCGGCUGGCGGCGGACGGGCCGGGGUCGAGGGCCGGCGAACGGGCGGCCGCUGCGUCAGCACGCCCGGCGGCCGGGGCUGGGCCGAGCGGCGGCGGCGCCGGGGAAUGCCCGUGCGGGCCCUGGCCUGGCCCUCCUCAACUUAGGGCGGCGGCGGGCCCGCGCCCAGGCUCCGGGGCCAUGGCGCUGCGGGAGCUCAAAGUGUGUCUGCUGGGGGACACAGGUGUGGGCAAAUCAAGUAUCGUAUGGCGGUUCGUGGAAGACAGCUUUGAUCCGAACAUCAACCCAACUAUAGGGGCAUCCUUUAUGACCAAGACUGUCCAGUACCAAAAUGAGCUACAUAAAUUCCUAAUCUGGGAUACAGCUGGACAAGAACGAUUCCGUGCCUUAGCGCCCAUGUACUAUCGAGGGUCGGCUGCAGCUAUAAUUGUUUAUGACAUCACAAAAGAAGAGACCUUUUCAACAUUAAAGAAUUGGGUAAAGGAGCUUCGACAACACGGUCCACCUAAUAUUGUAGUUGCCAUUGCAGGAAAUAAGUGUGAUCUUAUCGAUGUAAGAGAAGUCAUGGAGAGAGAUGCUAAGGAUUACGCCGACUCCAUCCAUGCGAUUUUUGUAGAGACCAGUGCAAAAAAUGCGAUAAACAUCAAUGAACUCUUUAUAGAAAUUAGUUCAUACAUGUUUAGGUUCAUCUGUAUCAUUGCAUGAUCCAUUCUUGUUUCCGUGGUGCAUCUGUCAGCCUCAGAGUCAGAGCAGGAGGAUGCCCACGGUGGUUAUCCAUCCUGUUGAUAGGCAUCUGAGUGGUUGUUUCCAAUGUAGAGCUAUUACAAAUGGUACCGCUGUCGAAGAAUUCCAUCCACCGACACCAACCCGCCGUGUGGCGGGAAGGGCUUCAAACUCCGGAGACAGCCUUCAGAGCCCAGGCGAAGCUGCUGCUGACUGAGCCUCAGCCUCGGACUCAGUGAUGAAGUAGGUGGUCCUGAAAGCUAACAGGAGGGCUGGGGGCCCUGCUGCCAGACUGAGCCUCGCUGGUCUGGGGUCUGCUUCAUGCAAAAAAGAGUCGCAGAAAUUGACCAGUCUGUUUCCUCUUUGAAGACUGUAGCAGUGCGGUUUCAGUCUUCGGACUUGUGUUAUGUAAAGACUCUGGGGGACAAAGGGACUCCAUCACUGGCUUUUGACCUUGUUGAAAAGGAACAUGUAAUUGUAUGGAUCGUAGGAUCCACUUGUUGAGUCGUUUUGUAAUCAAGAUUUUAUGUAACAUUUGUAAAGGGAAAUGAGCACUUUCAUCAUUCUUGAGGAAAAGAAGACCUCGUGGAGAUUAUAAUUUCCUUGGUUUCACAUUACCCCUGUUCUAGGGAGUUGUAUAAUUUAAAAUGUGGUAGCAUCGUUAAGUGGAGGGAUGGCGAUUAUUAUCUGAAGGUAAAAUGGGUUCUUUAUCGGACUGAUGGAAAUGAUUGCAUCCAUCUCCAGAGCAUUUUCCAUUGCAUACAUUAGCCCAGGAUACAUACAGUAAAUUCACAACAACAACAAUAGCCUGCAGCUCAGCCUCCGUUUGCAUUCUGACCCUGUCCUGUAUGUGUCACCAAACUCAUUAUUGGCUCCUGUAAUAAGCUCUAAGGAUCAGGGUAGUGGUGGUAGAGAAGCUGACUGGAGUAAAUCAAAUUGCAUAUGUUUAAACUGACUAACUGGUUUUAAAAGGAGGAAAAAGAAAGUAGUGUAAAUACUGUCAAUUUUUUAUUUAACCCAAAUAUUUUGGUGGGGGAAACAAUUAUCUGUUGCUUAGCCUAUGUAAAGUUAUAGUCCAUAUUUAUGAGACCAUUGCUUAAAAAGUAUAAAUUAUGUAAAUAUGGUAAUAAAUUCUGUGUUUCAUUCCAUUUAAUCUUGCCCCAUCUUGCAUGUGCCAACCCUAUUUUCAGCCUGUCCACGGGAGACUCUUCAAAGCACAUUUAUGUUGUGCGAAAGCAUAGAGCCUUAGCUUAUAAGUCUUCAAAGAUUUCCCUGCCUUUCUUUCCUUCCGUCCCCCUUCCGAAGCCCAUCUGGAAAUCAUAACAUAGACAUAUGCCACUUGGACAAGCCCGACUAGCCCUUUCUAGCCUUGGGGUAAAAAAAAAAAAAAGCUCCAAGCUCAGGUCAUUUACCUGGUCUUGGUAAUAAGUUUCUUUUCACUUUUAACAUCAGCCUCAGACCAACUGUUUGAAGAGAGCUUUCCUUGUUAACAAUUUAGCUUAUCUUUCCGGUUCCCUUUUCCCCCCUGCCUCUGUUAGUGGUUAACACUCUUUUCCCUCAGGGAGCCUAAUGAGGUUUUUAAUAUAAUCUAAAAAUAAAGCACUGAAGUGAAGUUGGUGAAAAUUUGUCCCUGGUCUAAUUUGGCACCCUUCCAACUUGAGUAUUGUAAGGGAAGGAAAUUUACAAGAUUAUAUAGGAAAUGAAACAGCUUGAAUUUCAAACUAAAUUGUGUUUUCAGAGCUCUCCUUAAACUGAACAGUCAAAACUUUUAAAAAUAAUUGUUAUUUCUUUGUGCACCCCACUUGAUAUGGGUAGAUUUUAAUGAGAAAAUUAUAACUCAAAUGAAGUACAAAACGAUUCCCUUCUCCCUGGUGAAUAUCUCAAGCAUUUGAAAUUGCUUGUUUUUUAUUAAAAUCCGAUAGAAGGAAUGUAGUUAGUGAAAAUUCUAACAUCGUUUUGUUUAAAAUACAUGUAGACUCUAUAGGUGCCCCCCCACCUCCCCCCCACCCACCCACCCCGCCCCAGCAUCUUGCUUUCAGAGAAAACAAAUAAUUGUAAAGACUGGGCUCUUUGCGCCUGAAGGUGGCUUCACUUUAUUUCCUAUACUGGUACAUCCAGGUGGAUGGGGGUACUUGGCCACUGCCCUGGUCCAUCCCUAGCAUUCCCACUCUGGGCCUCUGUCUCCACGACAACAAAAUAAAAACAAAGGUUGCUUGACUUCUUCCCGAAGAGGCAAUGCUUGUGUGGCCCCUUCUUUCCUAUUUUACCAAAAGAUGGUGCAAAUCUGUGACCUUCACAAUAUUGCCACCAAACCUGUCAGUGUUUACGAUUUCAUGGUGUCUGAGUGCACAGGGAAAAACAAAGUGCUUGCUUGCUUCACCUUACUGGUGCAGUGAGUAAAUGCCUCUGAUCCUGUUUUGACCUUGACUGUUUUCAGCCCCAAACGGGUCCAUCCCGGUAGCCCUGCAGCGGUUCUCUGCCAUUUCUCAGACACCUUCCAGCAUGUAGCGAGGGAUUCUCUUUGACUGUAGCCACAUAUUUUAUGCACAGAAUGAAUGGCGUAUGGCAUGUGCAGCACUAGCCGCUAUUCUUCACGCGUUUCUGGGCCUCUCCUCCCCUCAUUUCCAUCAGUCAUCUCAGAAAUUGACAUGGCACCAUUCUUGUGCAAUAUCUUUUUAAUCCUUAACAACAGCAGCAGAUUGCUCUCUCAGAUCCACAAUUCACACACAAUGAAACGGAGAAAAGGGUUUUCAUUUAUUUUGUUUGCUUAUGAAAUGCAAAGAUGAAUAUUAAAGUCAGAAGCAGUGUUUCAUUUUGAACACACUUUGGAUGUUAACCUGACUGAGCAAUGAUCUGAUACACAUUUCAUACAUUCUUUGUUCUUAUUUCUUAAGAGAAAAGGCCAAAUUUCAAAGGAAUUGAGGUCUAAUCCAUCCAUAAAAACCUUUUGGUUCCCUUAUGACACAGGGCAUUUUUUAAAAAAACUUUAGGGACUGAAAAGAGAAAAAUCAUUAAUUAGCUGCAAGUGUAUAUUGAUUCCUCUCAGAGAAAUUGAAAUAAGCUCUUUGCAGGUGUCUAAUCCUAGUCACCAUUGGUCUCCAGAAGUCUCCUUCCACAUAAGUGUUUUUCUGAUCCUCUGAUAACUAAUUAACUAUCAUUUGGUGAUUAAAAGAACAAAGUAAGAGUAUGAUCAAGUGCCCUUCAUUUCAAUUUCUCUUUAAGAAGUGAUUGGGGAGAAGUACCUGGAUACAGGCCCUUCAGUUUCCAAAUGAACCCUCCAUCACCUGCUUCUCAGCCACAGGCAGGAUAAGUUCCACACAUAGCAACAGGAAGAUUUAGUUCCUUUAGAAUAACAUACUUCUGUGCUGCCCAUGUAUGAUUAUGUUUGAAGUGCCUGCCUCCCCCAAUUUGAAAGGGUCAAGUCUUUUGCCUGAGAAGCUUGAUCUCUUCUAAGUGGGCUGGGGUCCUCCUUGAGGUCAUUAAUUAUCAUUUUUAAAUGUAUAAAGAAAAUCACAUUUAAUUUCUCUGCUUCUCUUUAAGUCUUGUAUUCUUUUCGGUCCUCAAGAAGGAAAACAGGUUCUAGGAGGCCUUCUAAAUUAAACGGGAAGCUACAGUAAUGAAAACGUCCAUUAGAGAACCAUUCCCUGGCUCCCCUGGGGACAUGGAACCAGAAGGCCUGCACUUCUCGGGCUGUGUCAGCAAGGGCAGGUCUGAUGCAGAUGGCGAGGCACUAAUUGGCAGGUCAGCCUCAGAGCUUGAAAAGGUAUUUCUUCAUGGUCAUGGGCAUCUGUAAUAGUCUGAGAAUGAAUGGCAAAAGAGGUUGUAUUAAUUCUUAUAAGCAUUUUUCACUCGUUUUAAAACUGAAAACAUGAUCCACGGCCCCUUGGUGUGUAAGAUAGAGGCACAGAGUAUAUUACGUGCACAACAGAUGUGUUUACAGGAACCUGCAUAGGUAAUGAGAGAAUCCUUUCUUUCUGGGGGAAUGUUGCUGGAAGUCCCUUAACUCUGAUCUACUUUAGAACAUUGGGUGGAAAUGACAACACCCAGACUCAGGCUGUCUUCCCUCUCCAAACUCACUUGGCUGUAAAUAUUCCUCCUAACCCUCUAGUAAAAACUAAAAGACAGUGAUGAGCCAGAUAGUGUAGCCCUGUCAACAAUCUUUGUUAUUUACAUUUGUCUUAGGACUAGCAGCAUGACUUCUGUUAAUUAGUCACUCCAGGAGGUGGUCUACCUCUUGACAGUUCAUAUUUUUUAAAGGAAGAAGUGGAGUGUACCUUUAAGGAUCAAGUUGUUACUGCAUACCUGACUUCAAUUAGCAUGGUCCAUCAACAAUUUUAAAAUGAUGCAAGGUAAGGUAUAGGAGAAAAAUAAAUAGUCUAAGCAAUGAUUCUUCUAGGAGAUAGACCUUAUACUGUGUAGUUUUAGAAGAGGGAGGUGGGUGGGAUUCAGCCCCGAACUGAAAGAAACAGCCUUUGCCAAUUUCUCUUGACAGCAGAGUUACUGGUCUUGACUUCCAGUAAUAGAAAUCCAGGCAAUUUGAUUAUCUGAUUUGCAAGAAACAUUAAUGGAAUGCUGGGGCAUUUGUCCUGUUCUUUGUGCAAAUGAAAUUCUAAAAAAAUAUUAGGAGGGUGUUACAUUUCUCAGUAGCCUCCACUUUUUCAAUCCAAGAGAAUGAUAAGUGAGAGAUCUGUGGUGAUGAAGUUUCAUUAGACAUAAUGAAGAAAGUGAAAAAAUAGAACCAAGAAUGUCUAUAUUUCUCAGUUUGUCCUUCAGAAUUCUUUUCUUAGCAUAUAGGAAAAUGAUUUACUUCCCAAAUCAAGAAGGGCUUCUACUAGCAUAGAUCAACUUUAAUUUGAGGGUCUGUACCAUCAGGAAUAACUAAUAUCUAUGUUCUUUAUAGAGUAUAAUCAAUUAGAGAUAUGCUAGAAUAUUUGGGUCUUCCAAACAAAAGGAUUCAGAAGUUUAAUGAAAAGAAAAACCUUUCAUCUUUUCCUUUGAUUACAUUGAACAUUUUAGAUAGUAAUAUUAGAAUGUGUCAUUAGUAGAUACUGAAUUAAAAUCAUAGAGCCUUAAAUUUAACAAGAAAAUGUUUUCAUUUAUUGCCAGUUCAUUUUCGGAUCUGCAUGGUGCCCAGUGCCUCAUCAAAAUGCUUCAUAAUUGAAACAAAAUUCAAGAUAACCUUCCCUGAACAGGAAUUCAAGUGCCAAGAAUUCAGCCAAUUAAUGGCAAAUCCUAAGACAGCAAUGAUUUUUUUUGAAAGCGCCUCUUUUAAUUGGCAGUUUUAAAUGGUAGACUUUAAUGUUCUUAAUCAUGCAACAGAAAUAAAACAUGCCAGUCUUCAUGCCACGUCUUAAUUUAGGAACUUUUCAGUGCUUCCAGAAGCAAAUUAUUUACUAUCAGUGCUCCCUUAGAGGAAGUCAUUUUUAAAGUAGCAUUCCGCACAUAGGGCCAUUUAUCUUUACUCAGAACUGAAAUUGUCCCCCAAAGCCACGUCAUGUUGUAGAAAUGGCAGGAGCGUGGGGCCGUCCCAGGUGGACAGGCAGCGCACCCCUACUUGGAACAUUGUCAGCCCACAGCAGUGAUGACUUCACUUUGGGGCUUCAUCUUAAUCUCGUUUGUCCUUUAUGAAUAUUUUCAUUAAAUUUACCCUGGAAUAAUCAAGUUUACUCCCUGAGAAAUUUCAAAAACAGGGCUUGAAUUUGUGUACCUCCUUUUACUUUACGUAUGAGGUUAUGACAUAAUUGAUGAAACUUUUCCUUAAUAUGGAUCAUACCCAUGAUGUCAGAACGACCGGUCGAUUCAGUGCAGGAAAAAUUAUGGGUAGCUAGCCAGUCAGAACAGCUGAUUGGUAGCUCUGUUUUUAAACCAUUUGUCGUGUUGUGUGGACAGAGCUUUAUUGCUCUGGGAAAGAUUUUCUUUUUCACUCUCCUCCAGCUCCGUCUUUCUAUCAUCUCACUUUAUGAGUCACUCACGUAGUUGUCAAUCAUGCCUCUGACCUUCUUAAGAAUUGAUGUCUUGCCUUCUCUGUGAUCGAAGCGGACUGCUUACCUUAUUUCUCUUCUUCUCAUUUUGCAGUGGGCUGUCCCUUAAAGUCACAGGGCACCAUCCACCUCCUUAAUGCACGUGACAGUUCUGUGCUGCCUCCCACAAGCACUGUAGGGCUUGCUCUCCACAUCCAACAAGAGAGGCAAGACAUAACCAGUGCCGUCAGAAAACAAGGCUAAUUUUAGGUGAAGAACUCCCAUAUUUUGAGAGAGGCAGUGGGCAGCACUAACUUAAGUGGCAACAUGACUUGAGUGACAAAAUGUUUUCUAGCACUGGUGAUGAGAUAGUGUGAGUGUCAGAACUUCGCUUAGUGUGUAAUAGAGCAUUUGUCAACGGAUGUGACAAUCCAAGUCCAGUCUUGAAGGGAAGCAGAUAUGGAGUGUGGAAGUGAGCCUAGACAUUAAUUUUUUUAAAAGCUAAGCCCUCAUACCAGCAAUUCUUAUUUCUCCUAAGAAUGUCAUGCCUUUUCAAGACCUGAUUCAAGGAGUAAGAUACUUGUGCCUUUUAUAAUAACAUCUAUUAUGAAAAAAAUAAAAUGAAUUUGCUUCCAGUUUAGGCCACUUGGUAGCACUAUAAAGAGCCCAGAUUUAUAGCCGUGGCUUCCCUGCAUGACGCAUUGCUUGAUUACCUGUGAUGAACUAUUGUAAUGAUGACUUGCCAAGCUUAUAUGGAUGUUUAAAGACUUUAUUUUUGCAGUCUUAACCUUGGGCUGGACCUGAGUCUAUAGGUAAACCAUAUAAUAUCUGUGUUGUUGUAGAUGCUGACAAAAGGAAACUAGAUCUUUGGAUUUUUGUUGUAAGAUUUUUCUGUUUUUACUUAGCCAGUGGUAGAUAGUUUGCAGAUGGUGGUUGAUUUGGCACACUUUUAAACUAUUGUUUUAGCUUGAAUAUUAUAUCAUCAACUUUUAUAGAGGAUAACGUGCUAAAUCACAACAAAAUUUGUUGUAUUGUAAGAAGGUUGUAAACAUUUUCUUAAUAAAAUACUAUGUUUAUAAAUA
Myotis myotis is the source of this 7834-nucleotide RNA transcript. It is a transcript of the gene named RAB22A, member RAS oncogene family, with no coding region annotated. Lineage: Eukaryota; Metazoa; Chordata; Mammalia; Chiroptera; Vespertilionidae. The transcript has 8 exons. The record is from RefSeq and is a predicted model, not a curated record.